Molecule: ribosomal RNA, 612 nt
Filed under: Helix pomatia (Roman snail)
Lineage: Eukaryota; Metazoa; Mollusca; Gastropoda; Stylommatophora; Helicidae
Description: partial 16S ribosomal RNA
Rfam family: Archaeal large subunit ribosomal RNA
Source: RNAcentral
AGAUAUUAUCCCCUUGCAGUGUAGUUUAAUAGCUAUCUACAUAUUAACUUAAUAUAAAGUAUAAUAGUUUAUAUUUUAUAAUAUGACGUUAACAAUUUUGUUUAAUAUUUGAAAAUGUUAGUAUUAGUAAUAUUAGUAUAUAUGCUAAAGGAACUCGGCAAAAAACCACUCAACUGUUUAUCAAAAACAUAGCUAUAUGAAUUAAUAUAUAGUUAUUUCUGCUCAAUGAUUUAAAUAGCCGCAGUACUCUGACUGUGCAAAGGUAGCAUAAUCAGUUGGCUUUUAAUUAGAGUCUGGUAUGAACGAAAAUAUGGGUAGUAACUGUCUUAGCACAUUUUUUCGAACUUAUUAAACAAGUGCAAAUGCUUGUAAUUUAACAAUAGACGAGAAGACCCUAGAAACUUGGACAAGUUUUUGUUGGGGCGACAGAAUUACACUUAACUAAUCUUAUAAUACACGACGCGAUGUUGAAAGAAUAAGUUACUCUAGGGAUAACAGCAUAAUUUCAUUAGUUUGUGACCUCGAUGUUGGACUAGGUACUAUACCCUUAAGGCAAGGAUAUAUUAUGCUCUGUUCGAGCAAAAUUACCUACAUGAUCUGAGUUCAGACCGG